RNAcentral lists this ribosomal RNA (399 nucleotides) under uncultured bacterium. RNAcentral describes it as "bacterial SSU rRNA". It matches the Rfam family "Bacterial small subunit ribosomal RNA", at positions 28 to 420 of the family's 1533-position model. The record is from RNAcentral.
GACGAACGCUGGCGGUGUGCUUAACACAUGCAAGUGGAGCGACGAACCAGGGCUUGCCCUGGGGCAGAGCCGCGAACGGGUGAGUAACACGUGGGUAACGUACCCCGAUCACCGGGACAACCCGAGGAAACUCGGGCUAAUACCGGAUGUGUCCGUGAAUCAUGAGGUUCACGUGCAAAGGAAGCUUCGGCCUCCGGAUCGGGAGCGGCCCGCGGCCCAUUAGCCUGUUGGUGGGGUAACGGCCUACCAAAGCGACGAUGGGUAGCUGGUCUGAGAGGACGAUCAGCCACACUGGGACUGAGACACGGCCCAGACUCCUACGGGAGGCAGCAGUGGGGAAUCUUGCGCAAUGCGCGAAAGCGUGACGCAGCAACACCGCGUGAGGGAAGACGGCCUCGG